Long non-coding RNA from Bos taurus (domestic cattle), 2178 nucleotides. Lineage: Eukaryota; Metazoa; Chordata; Mammalia; Artiodactyla; Bovidae. The record is from Ensembl.
CCUCAGGGGUGACCCAGAUCCCCAGAGAGCUCUGCCCCCCUGUGCUUUAGAGCUGUGUAUGUAGAGGUUUGGCUGGGCCUUUAACCACCUGCUGGGGAAGCCAAGCUGAGCAGAAAAAAAAAAACGGUUCGGAGAGGCUCUCACUCUGGCGACUCUGGACAGUUUUGAGCCUGCUGCCUCCGGUGACGGGAGGCUCAUGACACCACCAGGAGUCAGAUGCACCAGAGCAGGGAAAGCCUGUACCCAGCUGUCCUGUGGAGCCUGUGCCAGCUCUGUGAGGGGACAGAAGGAAGUGGGCCUCCAAAGUCUGUGACAUCCUGACAAACGCCCCAUCGAUCAAGUCAUCAAGGCCGCAGCCAUGCCCUGGCUACUAUUGCUGGGGCUCUCCCCUGGAGAAACUUAUAAGCCCAUGCUGCAAAAAAAGGGACCAGGCUGAGGUAGUCCAGGAUACAGUUUAUUGGGUCAGUGGGCACUGGAUCCCCCCACCCCACCUCCUUUCCUUUUGCCCUCUUCCAACCUUACCUUCUCACCAGUCUCCUACUCUCCUUCCUCAUGUAUUCAGAGCUGCAGAAAACCAAAAAAAGAAGAAAGAAAAAAACAUGUUGGUAAAGGCAAAGAGGCAGAUGGGUUGGCAUGUGGGAAGAGAACUGCUUCUUUGUCUUGCCCACAGAGUGGGGGUGCCUUCCUUGUGGGCUUCUGCCUGGUGUGUGGGUACAAUUUGCUGAACCCUGGGCAUAUGACAUGUUCCUCCCACCCCUGGCAUCCCUGGAGGACCCUAUUUAGGCCAUCUCUCGGCCGUGGACAGAAAGCUGUUGGCCUGACUGCUGGACCUGGCUCUCCUGGGCCGAUGUAAUACAGAGGGUGAGCUUGGGAAGGACUCCCAGACCUAUAUGAACUGCUAAGGAAAAACUAUCAUUUGGAAAAUAAGACUGUCAUUGGCCUGCAGGGAGAGGCCUCUUGUUUCAGAAGGCUGCAAUGAGGUGAUGGUCACAGUUUGAGUUUGAUAUCAAUAGUCAAGUCUCAUUUUUCUCUGAAGACACCCAGAGCAUAUUGGAUCUGCCAAGAGUAUUGACUUGGAGAAGCUGAAUAAGCAACUGAAUUGCCAUGCUAACACUGAUGUUUCUAGCUGUUUCCUCUGAAUCUCCCUACAGCUUUCUCCUCCUCAAGCAUCCUCUUACAAACGUCACUCCACAGCAUUCCAUUCUAGGCCCCUUGCUCCUCUCUUUUGAAACACACUCCCUGAACCACCUUAUCCAUUUCUCUGGCUUCCAUCUAUAUGCUAAGGCUGUAUGCCUCAUGGCUGUGAUUCACAUGGCUCUCUCCUCAUCUCCUGACCCUCAUAUCCAACUGCUGACUGGAUGCCUUUUGAAGAGCAUGCUCAAAAUCAAACAUCUCAAAACCUGCUUUUCCUCCCAGACUCUCAGGGUUACCAACUACCUAGGUACUCAAGCCACACAGCUGGGCCUCACUCUUGAUUCUUGCCCCUGUGCCCUCAUCCCAACCAUCAGAAUCUUCGCAAUUAAAUGCCCUAAAUAUUGAUAAGUUCUGUUUCUCUUCAUCCCCAUUGGCACCACUCAGUUUCCAGACAUGUUGACCUCUCUCCUAAACACUAAAACUGCCCCCUCACAGGCUCCCUGUCUCUGGUCUUGCCCUUCUUCCAGCCAGUCUCCAAGGUGCAAAGUGAUUUCUAAAAACAGACCCAUCACUACAGUCUGUUUCUUAGGGAAAAUUCCAGCCCCCUCAACCUGGCUCACAAAAGCUUUUAAGUGGGUUCCUCUCUCCAGCCCCACUUCUGCCACCUAACUUCUCAGUCUGCACGGGACCUCACUGAACCAUCCUUGGGGCUUGCUUGCCCCUCUGUGGUACACUCCUCAUCUUGCCUUGCUAAUGCCUGGUUACUCGAUAGGCUUCAACCUAAACAUCACAAAUUUCCUCAGGAAGCUUCCCUUCCACUGUGCUCCUAUCAUAGGAGCAUGCGUUUCCCCUAGUACAGUUUUAGGGGAAUCACACCUCAUUGCAAUCACUGUUUACACCUCCAAUAUAUACAUCUGUAAGUAUUUGCUGACUAGUCAGCUAGGUAACGCAUACCACCCAAGUCUGGGAAAGAUGAUUGUUGCCUUCCGUGUAGAGCUUGGUCCAAGUUUUUUGUUUUGUUUUUAAACAGCUUUAUUGAGAUUU